AACAGACAGAGAGGGACACUGCAAGAGGCAUGACCAGCGAGGCUUAUAUUGGGAAGAAAAUUGUUGUGAAGGUCGACAAAGCGGCGAAAGAACGGAUAAAAAACUACGUCCAUCGACCAGCUGAAAAAUGUUCUGAUGAAGUGACUGAUGACUUCAAUUCAGAAUCUGAAGCAAGCCUCGACAUCCUGGUCAACGUGGUAUCAAUCCUACCACAGGAAU
This 219-nucleotide long non-coding RNA is filed under the name Lathyrus oleraceus (garden pea). Its description in RNAcentral is "Pisum sativum (pea) long non-coding RNA (PSAT_LNC009037)". Lineage: Eukaryota; Viridiplantae; Streptophyta; Magnoliopsida; Fabales; Fabaceae. The record is from RNAcentral.